This 510-nucleotide ribosomal RNA is filed under the name uncultured bacterium. RNAcentral describes it as "partial 16S ribosomal RNA". It matches the Rfam family "Bacterial small subunit ribosomal RNA", at positions 28 to 507 of the family's 1533-position model. The record is from RNAcentral.
GACGAACGCUGGCGGCGUGCUUAACACAUGCCAGUCGAACGAAGAGCGAUGGAAGCUUGCUUCUAUCAAUCUUAGUGGCGAACGGGUGAGUAACGCGUAAUCAACCUGCCCUUCAGAGGGGGACAACAGUUGGAAACGACUGCUAAUGCCGCAUACGACCUGACCUCGGCAUCGAGGAUAGAUGAAAGGUGGCCUCUAUUUAUAAGCUAUCACUGAAGGAGGGGAUUGCGUCUGUUUAGCUAGUUGGAGGGGUAACGGCCCACCAAGGCGAUGAUCAGUAGCCGGUCUGAGAGGAUGAACGGCCACAUUGGGACUGAGACACGGCCCAGACUCCUACGGGAGGCAGCAGUGGGGAAUCUUCCGCAAUGGACGAAAGUCUGACGGAGCAACGCCGCGUGAGUGAUGACGGCCUUCGGGUUGUAAAGCUCUGUUAAUCGGGACGAAAGGCCUUCUUGCGAAUAGUUAGAAGGAUUGACGGUACCGGAAUAGAAAGCCACGGCUAACUACGUG